Molecule: ribosomal RNA, 497 nt
Filed under: uncultured bacterium
Lineage: Bacteria
Description: partial 16S ribosomal RNA
Rfam family: Bacterial small subunit ribosomal RNA
Source: RNAcentral
GAUGAACGCUGGCGGCGUGCCUAAUACAUGCAAGUCGAGCGAACAGACGAUGAGCUUGCUCCUCUGACGUUAGCGGCGGACGGGUGAGUAACACGUGGAUAACCUACCUAUAAUACUGGGAUAACUUCGGGAAACCGGAGCUAAUACCGGAUAAUAUAUUGAACCGCAUGGUUCAAUAGUGAAAGACGGUUUUGCUGUCACUUAUAGAUGGAUCCGCGCCGCAUUAGCUAGUUGGUAAGGUAACGGCUUACCAAGGCAACGAUGCGUAGCCGACCUGAGAGGGGGAUCGGCCACACUGGAACUGAGACACGGUCCAGACUCCUACGGGAGGCAGCAGUAGGGAAUCUUCCGCAAUGGGCGAAAGCCUGACGGAGCAACGCCGCGUGAGUGAUGAAGGUCUUCGGAUCGUAAAACUCUGUUAUUAGGGAAGAACAAAUGUGUAAGUAACUAUGCACGUCUUGACGGUACCUAAUCAGAAAGCCACGGCUAACUACGUG